This is an RNA transcript of Maniola jurtina (meadow brown), 3024 nucleotides long. It is a transcript of the gene named polyubiquitin-C, with no coding region annotated. The record is from RefSeq and is a predicted model, not a curated record. The transcript is spliced from 3 exons. NCBI's taxonomy places the organism in Eukaryota, Metazoa, Arthropoda, Insecta, Lepidoptera, Nymphalidae.
UUUUGUCAUUUCAGUUCGUCGAUUCGUAUUUUGAGAUUUUUUGUGCGAAGUAGAUAAUUAUUACUAGUUCUACUCCUUUGUCAUUUUAUAGAGAAGGAAUAAGAAUUGUAUAGUUAAACGUGUAAAAUAACAAUAUUAUCUAAGAAUUAAGAAAUAAAAAAGUAUCCUUCGUAGUCUAAUCGACUUCAAAAUGCAAAUUUUCGUGAAAACACUCACUGGCAAAACCAUCACUUUGGAAGUUGAGCCAUCUGACACCAUCGAAAAUGUGAAGGCAAAGAUCCAAGACAAGGAGGGAAUCCCACCAGAUCAGCAGCGUUUGAUCUUCGCUGGCAAGCAGCUGGAAGAUGGUCGCACAUUGUCAGACUACAACAUCCAAAAAGAGUCUACCCUCCAUCUUGUGCUACGUCUACGUGGUGGUAUGCAAAUCUUUGUAAAGACCCUCACUGGUAAAACCAUCACACUUGAAGUAGAGCCUUCUGACACUAUUGAGAAUGUAAAAGCAAAGAUUCAAGACAAAGAGGGCAUCCCACCAGACCAGCAACGUUUGAUCUUUGCUGGCAAGCAGCUGGAAGAUGGCCGUACCCUGUCAGACUACAAUAUCCAAAAGGAGUCUACCCUUCACUUGGUCUUGCGUCUCCGAGGUGGUAUGCAGAUCUUUGUAAAGACCCUCACUGGGAAGACAAUAACUCUGGAAGUAGAAGCAUCAGAUACCAUUGAAAAUGUGAAGGCAAAGAUCCAGGACAAAGAGGGAAUCCCGCCUGACCAACAACGCUUGAUCUUUGCUGGCAAACAGCUGGAAGAUGGCAGGACUCUCUCCGAUUAUAACAUUCAGAAAGAAUCUACCCUUCACUUGGUGUUGCGUCUGCGUGGUGGUAUGCAGAUCUUUGUGAAAACCCUUACUGGGAAAACAAUAACUUUGGAAGUGGAAGCAUCAGAUACAAUUGAAAAUGUGAAGGCAAAGAUCCAAGAUAAGGAAGGGAUUCCACCAGACCAGCAGCGUCUCAUCUUUGCUGGCAAACAGUUGGAAGAUGGCCGAACUCUUUCAGACUACAAUAUCCAAAAAGAGUCUACACUACAUCUUGUGCUCCGUCUGCGUGGUGGUAUGCAAAUCUUUGUGAAAACACUCACUGGCAAAACUAUCACACUUGAAGUAGAGCCAUCUGACACUAUUGAGAAUGUGAAGGCAAAGAUCCAAGAUAAGGAAGGGAUCCCACCAGACCAGCAGCGUCUCAUCUUUGCUGGCAAGCAGUUAGAAGAUGGCCGUACCCUUUCGGACUACAACAUUCAAAAGGAGUCCACCCUACAUCUUGUGCUCCGUCUCCGUGGUGGUAUGCAGAUCUUCGUGAAGACCCUUACUGGAAAGACAAUCACCCUGGAAGUAGAAGCAUCAGACACCAUUGAAAAUGUAAAGGCAAAGAUCCAGGACAAAGAGGGGAUCCCACCAGACCAGCAGCGUCUCAUCUUUGCUGGCAAGCAGUUAGAAGAUGGACGUACCCUUUCAGAUUACAACAUUCAAAAGGAGUCCACCCUACAUCUUGUGCUCCGUCUCCGUGGUGGUAUGCAGAUCUUCGUGAAGACACUUACUGGAAAGACAAUCACUCUGGAAGUAGAAGCAUCAGACACCAUUGAGAAUGUAAAGGCAAAGAUCCAGGACAAAGAAGGAAUCCCACCAGACCAGCAGCGUCUCAUCUUUGCCGGCAAACAGUUGGAAGAUGGACGUACUCUAUCAGACUACAACAUUCAAAAGGAGUCUACCCUACAUCUUGUGCUCCGUCUCCGUGGUGGUAUGCAGAUCUUCGUGAAGACCCUUACUGGAAAGACAAUCACUCUGGAAGUAGAAGCAUCAGACACCAUUGAGAAUGUAAAGGCAAAGAUCCAGGACAAAGAGGGAAUCCCACCAGACCAGCAGCGUCUCAUCUUUGCCGGAAAACAGUUGGAAGAUGGACGUACCCUUUCAGAUUACAACAUUCAAAAGGAGUCUACCCUACAUCUUGUGCUCCGUCUCCGUGGUGGUAUGCAGAUCUUCGUGAAGACACUUACUGGAAAAACAAUCACUCUGGAAGUAGAAGCAUCAGACACCAUUGAGAAUGUCAAGGCAAAGAUCCAGGACAAAGAGGGAAUCCCACCAGACCAGCAGCGUCUCAUCUUUGCCGGCAAACAGUUGGAAGAUGGUCGUACCCUGUCAGACUACAACAUUCAAAAGGAGUCCACCCUACAUCUUGUGCUCCGUCUGCGUGGUGGCAUGCAGAUCUUUGUGAAGACCCUCACUGGAAAGACAAUCACACUUGAAGUGGAGCCAUCAGACACUAUUGAGAAUGUAAAGGCCAAGAUCCAGGACAAAGAGGGAAUCCCACCAGACCAGCAGCGUCUUAUUUUCGCUGGUAAACAGUUAGAGGAUGGGCGCACCCUUUCUGAUUACAACAUACAAAAGGAAUCAACUCUGCAUUUAGUUCUGCGUCUUCGUGGCGGCAAUUAAUCAAUCGUAACAUCUCAAUGUACCAUGUAGCAAUUUCUGAUAAAAUUUCUAAUUUAAAUAUGUAAUAGUAGAUUCAAAAUCUACUGUUUACUGAAUAAAUUAAUGUUAUCUGUUGAGGAUACCCCCCUCAAUCUUUGAAGAUCUUCACUUAGGUAUAAUAGGUCUAACUUGACGCUUUGCAAAAUUUAUUUUGGACAGAACUUAAUACUUAAUGUCAAAGAUAUAUUAUAUCAAACUAACUGCGUCAGUUACUUUUUCAACUCUAAAAAGUAUUUUUAACAUUUUGAUUUGAAACCAGUUAUAUGCUUUUUAAGUGCAAAAAUGAUGUAUGACAACACUUUAACUCGUAUCGAAGAUUGCCAUAUUUUGAUGAAUCGGCACACAAAUGACGGGAUUCUGUAUAAACGAUCACCGUUUGUGAUGAAAAGAGGACAUAUGAUGGGACCUAAGAUAUGUAUUCUUUGAUGUAAUGGAAAAGACAUACUUCUCCAAGAGCGUCGAGACGAGUCCUUUCAGUAUCUCGGUGCACUGUUGGUGGUACUCCAGUA